UACGUAGGGUGCAAGCGUUGUCCGGAAUGAUUGGGCGUAAAGCGUCCGCAGGUGGCUAUGUAAGUCUGCUGUUAAAGAGUGAGGCUCAACCUCAUAAAAGCAGUGGAAACUACAUGGCUAGAGUGCGUUCGGGGCAGAGGGAAUUCCUGGUGUAGCGGUGAAAUGCGUAGAGAUCAGGAAGAACACCGGUGGCGAAAGCGCUCUGCUAGGCCGCAACUGACACUGAGGGACGAAAGCUAGGGGAGCGAAUGGG
RNAcentral lists this ribosomal RNA (253 nucleotides) under uncultured bacterium. Its description in RNAcentral is "partial 16S ribosomal RNA". It matches the Rfam family "Bacterial small subunit ribosomal RNA", at positions 524 to 776 of the family's 1533-position model. The record is from RNAcentral.